AGCGAACGCUGGCGGCGUGCCUAACACAUGCAAGUCGAACGUGAAAGGGAGCAAUCCCAAGUAAAGUGGCGUACGGGUGAGUAACACGUAGGUAAUCUACCCCAGAAUCUGGAAUAACCGGCCGAAAGGCUGGCUAAUACUGGAUAGAGCGACGGAAUCCGUAAUUGGGUUUUUCGGGAAAGGGAGCCUGUAAAAAGGCCUUCGUUCUGGGAUGAGCCUGCGUCCCAUCAGCUAGUUGGUGAGGUAAAAGCUUACCAAGGCACUGACGGGUAGCUGGUCUGAGAGGACGAUCAGCCACACUGGAACUGAAACACGGUCCAGACUCCUACGGGAGGCAGCAGUGGGGAAUCUUGCGCAAUGGACGAAAGUCUGACGCAGCAACGCCGCGUGAGUGAAGAAGGCCUUCGGGUUGUAAAGCUCUGUCGAGUGGGACGAAAAUGCUUGGAGUUCACAGCUCCAGGAACUGACGGUACCACUAAAGGAAGCACCGGCUAACUCCGUG
Molecule: ribosomal RNA, 502 nt
Filed under: uncultured bacterium
Lineage: Bacteria
Description: partial 16S ribosomal RNA
Rfam family: Bacterial small subunit ribosomal RNA
Source: RNAcentral